UACAGAGGUCUCAAGCGUUGUUCGGAUUCAUUGGGCGUAAAGGGUGCGUAGGCGGCGCGGUAAGUCGGGUGUGAAAACCCGGGGCUCAACUCCGGGCUUGCAUUCGAUACGGGCAGGCUAGAGUUCGGUAGGGGAGACUGGAAUUCCUGGUGUAGCGGUGAAAUGCGCAGAUAUCAGGAGGAACACCGGUGGCGAAGGCGGGUCUCUGGGCCGAUACUGACGCUGAGGAGCGAAAGCGUGGGGAGCGAACAGG
RNAcentral lists this ribosomal RNA (253 nucleotides) under uncultured bacterium. RNAcentral describes it as "partial 16S ribosomal RNA". It matches the Rfam family "Bacterial small subunit ribosomal RNA", at positions 524 to 776 of the family's 1533-position model. The record is from RNAcentral.